AUUUCAGUGUAACAAAUCUAAAUCCCUUAACGAGGAUCCAUUAGAGGGCAAGUCUGUUUCCAGCAGUCGCGGUAAUUCCAUCUCCAAUAGCGUAUAUUUAAGUUGCUGCAGUUAAAAAGCUCGUAGUUGGAUCUUGGGUCGUAAAGGUCAGUCCGCCUACUCGGUGUGCACUUGCCCUUCCGUCCCUUUUGUCGGCGGCGUGCUCCUGACCUUAAUUGGCUGGGUCACGGCUCCGGCACUGUUACUUUGAAAAAAUUAGAGUGCUCAAAGCAAGCUUAUGCUCUGAAUACAUUAGCAUGGAAUAAUGUGAUAGGAGUCUGGUCCUAUUGUGUUGGCCUUCGGGACCGGAGUAAUGAUUAAUAGGGACUGUCGGGGGCAUUCGUAUUUCAUUGUCAGAGGUGAAAUUCUUGGAUUUAUGAAAGACGGACCACUGCGAAAGCAUUUGCCAAGGAUGUUUUCAUUAAAUCAAGAACGAAAGUUGGGGGCUCGAAGACGAUCAGAUACCGUCCUAGUCUCAACCAUAAACGAUGCCGACCAGGGAUCGGCGGAUGUUGCUCUAAGGACUCCACCAGCACCUUCUGAGAAAUCAGAGUGUUUGGGUUCCGGGGGGAGGAUGGUCGCAAGGCUGAAAAUUAAAGGAAUUGACGGAAGGGCACCACCAGGAGUGGAGCCUGCGGCUUAAUUUGACUCAACACGGGGAAACUUACCAGGUCCAGACAUAGUAAGGAUUGACAGAUUGAGAGCUCUUUCUUGAUUCUAUGGGUGGUUGUGCAUGGCCGUUCUUAGUUGGUGGAGCGAUUUGUCUGGUUAAUUCCGAUAACGAACGAGACCUCAGCCUGCUAACUAGCUACGCGGAGGUUCCCCUUCGAGGCCAGCUUCUUAGAGGGACUAUGGCCGUUUAGGCCAUGGAAGUUUGAGGCAAUAACAGGUCUGUGAUGCCCUUAGAUGUUCUGGGCCGCACGCGCGCUACACUGAUGCAGCCAACGAGCUUUUCUUCCUGGUUCGAGAGGAUCGGGAAAUCUUUUCAAAUUGCAUCGUGAUGGGGAUAGAACAUUGCAAUUAUUGGUCUUCAACGAGGAAUUCCUAGUAAGCGCGUGUCAUCAACUCGUGUUGACUACGUCCCUGCCCUUUGUACACACCGCCCGUCGCUCCUACCGAUUGAAUGAUCCGGUGAAGUGUUCGGAUUGCGUCGACGAUGGUGGUUCGCCGCCGCCGACGUCGUGAGAAGUUCAUUGAACCUUAUCAUUUAGAGGAAGGAGAAGUCGUAACAAGGUUACCGUAGGUGAACCUGCGGUAG
RNAcentral lists this ribosomal RNA (1297 nucleotides) under Pinus taeda (loblolly pine). RNAcentral's name for it is "SSU rRNA". It matches the Rfam family "Eukaryotic small subunit ribosomal RNA", at positions 508 to 1823 of the family's 1831-position model. Lineage: Eukaryota; Viridiplantae; Streptophyta; Pinopsida; Pinales; Pinaceae. The record is from RNAcentral.